RNAcentral lists this ribosomal RNA (300 nucleotides) under Triticum aestivum (bread wheat). RNAcentral's name for it is "partial small subunit ribosomal RNA". The record is from RNAcentral. Lineage: Eukaryota; Viridiplantae; Streptophyta; Magnoliopsida; Poales; Poaceae.
AUGCCCGUGAAGCCAUCCAUGCAUGAGCUCGCCACCUCAUGGGUGGUGUUGUCAUACAAAGGCCACGGGGGCCCAUACGACAUUAAGCCGCGGUCGCCAGUAGUCACUGCUGCAAUGGAGUUGCCUGCAAGGUUGACCAAGCUGUCGUUCACGGCCGCGUCACCCGAGAAAUUGAGGUAUUUUGCGUCGUAUGAGGAUGAGUUGGCGAAGUUGAAGCUAAAUGAGAUGGGUGGCGGCGUUGCGGCGGCGACAUGUCAAGGAGCAUCGAGCGGCGAGGAGAGGAGGAAGCAGCCGGCGUAG